AGAGGACUUUUCUUGAAUGGAAGCAAUCAGAAGCCUGUUUCCUGUAUCCUGUUCUGAAUUCCUGUUUGACCCUCGGGUCGGCUACUGGAAGAAAGGACAAGGACAUCAAAAAGAAGGCUUAGCAAAGUAGUAAGACAAGCAAAAGAGCCUUCUAAAGGCAAAGCAAAGAAGAUCCGGGACAGGAGGCAUAAAGGCAGAGCUUUGCUAUGGUAACAAUAGCCUACAACAGUGACAAGAAGAACAAAAGGCUCUUUUUCAUUCCUUAAAAAUAAAAAAUAAAAUAAAAUA
This is a long non-coding RNA of Alligator mississippiensis (American alligator), 288 nucleotides long. RefSeq lists it as uncharacterized. The record is from RefSeq and is a predicted model, not a curated record. Lineage: Eukaryota; Metazoa; Chordata; Crocodylia; Alligatoridae. The transcript has 2 exons.